UACAGAGGGGGCAAGCGUUGUUCGGAAUUACUGGGCGUAAAGGGCGCGUAGGUGGCCUUCUAAGUCGAACGUGAAAUCCCUGGGCUCAACCCAGGAACUGCGUCCGAGACUGGGAGGCUUGAAUCCGGGAGAGGGAUGCGGAAUUCCAGGUGUAGCGGUGAAAUGCGUAGAUAUCGAGAGGAACACCUGCGGCGAAGGCGGGUUGCUGGGCUGACACUGACGCUGAGGCGCGAAAGCCAGGGGAGCGAACGGG
Molecule: ribosomal RNA, 253 nt
Filed under: uncultured bacterium
Lineage: Bacteria
Description: partial 16S ribosomal RNA
Rfam family: Bacterial small subunit ribosomal RNA
Source: RNAcentral